CCUACGUGGGGCUGCAGUGGGGACUAUUGCACAAUGGGGGAAACCCUGAUGCAGCGACGCCGCGUGAGUGAAGAAGUAUUUCGGUACGUAAAGCUCUAUCAGCAGGGAAGAAAAACCGGCCUUAGGGCCGCCAGACGGUACCUGACUAAGAAGCCCCGGCUAACUACGUGCCAGCAGCCGCGGUAACACGUAGGGGGCAAGCGUUAUCCGGAUUUACUGGGUGGAAAGGGAGCGUAGACGGCAGCGCAAGUCUGGAGUGAAAUGCCGGGGCCCAACCCCGUAACUGCUUUGGAUACUGUGCAGCUGGAGUGCAGGAGAGGUCAGCGGAAUUCCUAGUGUAGCGGUGAAAUGCGUAGAUAUUAGGAGGAACACCAGUGGCGAAGGCGGCUUACUGGACUGUAACUGACGUUGAGGCUCGAAAGCGUGGGGAGCAAACAGGAUUAGAUACCCGGGUAGUC
Molecule: ribosomal RNA, 458 nt
Filed under: uncultured bacterium
Lineage: Bacteria
Description: partial 16S ribosomal RNA
Rfam family: Bacterial small subunit ribosomal RNA
Source: RNAcentral